UAGCAGAACCCGACAUAAAUGGCUUCUUGAAAUUGGAAAAGGGAAAAGGAAAGUUAUUUAUUAGUGCAUUCCAGUAAGGAAGUUGGACUCUUCGAUUUUGUUUACACACUUUCAUACUAUUCGUUACCUUUUUGGAGCAUUGAAUUUUUAUUAUGGAGGAAAUUGGGGUUUCUUCUACAUUGAUUACAGUGUAAUCAUAUUGGUUCUUCGCAGAGCGUUAAAAAUCUCUGUGGCGGCUGAGAAAGACUGGACUGAAGGGGAAGAUAAAGAAGGAACUGGGUUUCAUCAAUCUUACUGGAAAAUCAUAUUCUUUUACUUCAAUUUUGGGUGUGUUUUCUCUUUUAUCAAAAAGUUAUGAUUUUUAACAUUGGUUCUCUGUGAUUGUGUGUA
Molecule: long non-coding RNA, 390 nt
Organism: Olea europaea var. sylvestris
Lineage: Eukaryota; Viridiplantae; Streptophyta; Magnoliopsida; Lamiales; Oleaceae
Exons: 2
Source: RefSeq, a predicted model, not a curated record